RNAcentral lists this ribosomal RNA (489 nucleotides) under uncultured bacterium. RNAcentral describes it as "partial 16S ribosomal RNA". It matches the Rfam family "Bacterial small subunit ribosomal RNA", at positions 29 to 507 of the family's 1533-position model. The record is from RNAcentral.
AUGAACGCUGGCGGCAUGCCUUACACCUGCAAGUCGAACGGCAGCAUGACCUAGCUUGCUAGGUUGAUGGCGAGUGGCGAACGGGUGAGUAAUGCAUCGGAACGUGCCUUUUAGUGGGGGAUAACGUAGCGAAAGUUACGCUAAUACCGCAUAUUCUCUGAGGAGGAAAGCAGGGGACCUUCGGGCCUUGCGCUAGAAGAGCGGCCGAUGUCGGAUUAGCUAGUUGGUGAGGUAAAGGCUCACCAAGGCAACGAUCCGUAGCGGGUCUGAGAGGAUGAUCCGCCACACUGGGACUGAGACACGGCCCAGACUCCUACGGGAGGCAGCAGUGGGGAAUUUUGGACAAUGGGCGCAAGCCUGAUCCAGCCAUGCCGCGUGAGUGAAGAAGGCCUUCGGGUUGUAAAGCUCUUUCGGCUGGGAAGAAAUCGCACCCUCUAAUACAGGGUGUGGAUGACGGUACCAGCAUAAGAAGCACCGGCUAACUACGUG